GUAAAGAAAUAUUUUUCUUUGGGCCUUAGGCCCCAAUUUUUCACCUGUCCUAAAUUCUAACAAAAUAAUAAACAUAUUGACUAAAUAGGCUUAGGCCCAAUAAUAACAAAAUACAAUUUUUGGAAUUUUGGAGGCCUUUGGGCCCACUUCUUGACUUUCGUAUACACUAGGUGUAUACAAUCCCGAAUCCGCUCCAAUUCCUGUUCGUC
RNAcentral lists this long non-coding RNA (209 nucleotides) under Solanum tuberosum (potato). RNAcentral's name for it is "long non-coding RNA (STUB_LNC000530)". The record is from RNAcentral. Lineage: Eukaryota; Viridiplantae; Streptophyta; Magnoliopsida; Solanales; Solanaceae.